This 201-nucleotide ribosomal RNA is filed under the name uncultured bacterium. RNAcentral describes it as "partial 16S ribosomal RNA". It matches the Rfam family "Bacterial small subunit ribosomal RNA", at positions 1300 to 1500 of the family's 1533-position model. The record is from RNAcentral.
GCAGGCUGCAACUCGCCUGCAUGAAGCUGGAAUUGCUAGUAAUCGCGGAUCAGCAAGCCGCGGUGAAUACGUUCCCGGGCCUUGUGCACACCGCCCGUCACACCAUGAGAGUCGGGAACACCCGAAGUCCGUAGUCUAACCGCAAGGGGGGCGCGGCCGAAGGUGGGUCCGGUAAUUGGGGUGAAGUCGUAACAAGGUACC